UACAGAGGUCUCGAGCGUUGUUCGGAUUCAUUGGGCGUAAAGGGCGCGUAGGCGGCGGGGCAAGUCGGGUGUGAAAUCUCAGAGCUCAACUCUGAAACUGCACUCGAUACUGCUUUGCUUGAGGACUGGAGAGGAGAUUGGAAUUCACGGUGUAGCAGUGAAAUGCGUAGAUAUCGUGAGGAAGACCAGUGGCGAAGGCGAAUCUCUGGACAGUUCCUGACGCUGAGGCGCGAAGGCCAGGGGAGCAAACGGG
RNAcentral lists this ribosomal RNA (253 nucleotides) under uncultured bacterium. RNAcentral describes it as "partial 16S ribosomal RNA". It matches the Rfam family "Bacterial small subunit ribosomal RNA", at positions 524 to 776 of the family's 1533-position model. The record is from RNAcentral.